This is a long non-coding RNA of Wasmannia auropunctata (little fire ant), 451 nucleotides long. RefSeq lists it as uncharacterized. Lineage: Eukaryota; Metazoa; Arthropoda; Insecta; Hymenoptera; Formicidae. The record is from RefSeq and is a predicted model, not a curated record. The transcript is spliced from 3 exons.
GAAUUGAUCAGUUGCGAUUACAUCGUAUAACUUGUAUAAUCGAUUUUGCUCCCCAAGAAAAACGAAAAUAUUGACAAGAUGAAAAAAUUCCUUAUUUUCACUAUUUUUGUUAUGAUUGCUAUGGCGAUGAUUGCUACGGUUGCUUCUGAAGAAAAAUGUAAAGCUGUCGGUGGCCCAUGUUAUACAACUGAUGAGUGCUGUCCUGGUUUGAAAUGUUUGUUUUAUGCGCACAAAUGUGUGACAUAAUGAUAGGAUUCGAUCUGGAUAAGAGCUUUUUUGAUCCUGGAUGCCAUAUCAACCAAAUAUGUUAGAAUAAUAGUACUAUAAUGAUAAUAUUGCUUAUCACUUCCUUAUAUCUGACUUUGCCUCUAUUUUUCUUUUAUAUUUAUAUAAAAGGAAAGAGUUUCCGUUAUGACUGGCUUUAAAUAAAGACUUUCAAGAGCUAUCAUUA